AUGGGGAUUUGUAAUAAAACAGCUGCUAACUAGUUUUAAAAGCGGUUAAAUUCCGUUUUCCCCUUG
RNAcentral lists this transfer RNA (66 nucleotides) under Maiestas dorsalis. Its description in RNAcentral is "tRNA-Ser". Lineage: Eukaryota; Metazoa; Arthropoda; Insecta; Hemiptera; Cicadellidae. The record is from RNAcentral.